This is a ribosomal RNA of Lupinus angustifolius (narrow-leaved blue lupine), 1166 nucleotides long. It matches the Rfam family "Eukaryotic large subunit ribosomal RNA", at positions 665 to 1888 of the family's 3401-position model. The record is from Rfam. NCBI's taxonomy places the organism in Eukaryota, Viridiplantae, Streptophyta, Magnoliopsida, Fabales, Fabaceae.
ACCAAGGAGUCUGACAUGUGUGAGAGUCGGCGAGAUCGUAAACUCGUAAGGCGCAUGGGAGAUGAUUGGUGGGAUCCCCUUGUGGGUGGCACCACUUACCGACCUUCAUCUUCUAUGAAGGGUUCGAGUGAGAGCAUACAUGUUGGGACCCGAAAGAUGGUGAACUGUAGUGACGUGCAAAUGAUUUGUCUGAUUUGGGUAUAAAGGCGAAAGACUAAUCGAACCGUCUGACUUGGGUAUAGUAGUUGGUUCCCUCUGAAGUUUCGCUCAGGAUAGUUGGAGCCCACAGGCAAGUUCUAUUGGUUAAAGCCAAUAUGAUUAGAGGCAUCGGGGGCGCAACGCCCUCGACCAUUUCUCAAAUUUUAAAUAGGUAGGACGGUGUGGCUGUUUUGUUGAGCCACGCGAAAAAAUUGAGAGCUCCAAUGGGACAUUAUUGGUAAGUAGAAUUGGUGAUGUAGGAUGAACCGGAAGCUAGGUUAUGAUGCCCAACUACACGCUAACCUAGACCUCACAAAGGUUGUGGGUCCAUUAAGACAACAUGACGAUGGUCAUGAAAGUCGAAAUCCGCUAAGGAGUGUCCAACAACUCACCUACCGAAUCAAAUAGCACCAAAAAGGGAUGGUGCUAAAGUGUGCGACCUAUACCCGACCUUCAGGGUAAGGGCCAAGCCCCGUCGUGUAGGAGGGCGGGGCAGUCAUUAAAAAACCUGGGAAGUGAGCUCGGGCAGAACGGUCAACGAUGCAGAUCUUGGUGGUAGCUUCAAAUAUUUAAAUGAGAAUAUGCAAAUAUUCAUGUGAACAUCCCUUGCACAUAGGUUAGUCGAUCCUAAGGGACAAGGGAAGUUCUUUUGAUAGCGCUCUAUGUGCGCACUCUGAAAGGGAAUAUGGUUAAAAUUCAUGAACCGGGGUGUGGCGGUUGAUGGAAACCUUAGGGAGUCCGAAGACGUUAGUGGCCCCCCAGAAAGAGUUAUCUUUUCUUUUUUAAAAGCCUAUCCAUCCUAGAAACGGUGCAGCCAGAGGUGGGGUCCAGUGCCUGGAAGAGCACCGCAUGUUGCAUGGUGCCCAGUGCGCCCUUGGCGACCCUUGAAAAUCCGUAGGAGCGCGUUCCUCCCACAGCUGAUCAUAAUCAUAACCAUAUCAGGUGUCCAAGGUGAAUAACCUAUGGUA